Molecule: long non-coding RNA, 613 nt
Organism: Cheilinus undulatus (humphead wrasse)
Lineage: Eukaryota; Metazoa; Chordata; Actinopteri; Labriformes; Labridae
Exons: 4
Source: RefSeq, a predicted model, not a curated record
CGGACCUGAGCACACCUGAGUGAGCAGCUGAGGCCAGCCUUUGUCUGUGUCAGCCCUUGAUUUGGUUUUCCAUGUUUGGUGAGGGACAUCCUUUUGUGAGUGAUUGCUUUGGCAUAUCAGCCAAGAAAGAAGAUUCCAGCCACCUGCCUGGCAGCAACUAGUGUGGGGGGAAAUAUAACCCAGUCUUUCAAGUUUGUACAGACAUUACCAGAGGAGCCAAGCACUGUUUUUCCCAAAACUGGUUUUAGUUUUUUGGGCCUUAGUCUUUAUUAGUACAUUUUCUGCUGGACUUAAUGCUGUGUCGGGAGAGAGAGCCUAAGAGCAGCUGUUUUGCAUGUAUGUGUUUUUGUGUGUGUUUUGAACCAUUCUGAUCCGUUGUGAAUAAAUUUAACAACUUUGAUUUGGCUUCAACUAUUAGUACUGGUGAUUUCUCUGUUAAAUUUAUUAGCAUUUCUUUGCUAGCUCUUUUGGUGUGCACAAUUGUGCUUUAAGCUUUAAACCUCUCCCUCCCACUGCAGACUGGUCCAACGGUGAAUGUUUGACAGUGAGACAUAUACAAUACAAAACUUAAAGGGCAAGUCAACUCAUAUACCUUUUGCAUAAAAUAAUGUUG